GAUGAACGCUGGCGGCGUGCCUAAUACAUGCAAGUCGAGCGAACAGACGAGGAGCUUGCUCCUCUGACGUUAGCGGCGGACGGGUGAGUAACACGUGGAUAACCUACCUAUAAGACUGGGAUAACUUCGGGAAACCGGAGCUAAUACCGGAUAAUAUAUUGAACCGCAUGGUUCAAUAGUGAAAGACGGUUUUGCUGUCACUUAUAGAUGGAUCCGCGCCGCAUUAGCUAGUUGGUAAGGUAACGGCUUACCAAGGCAACGAUGCGUAGCCGACCUGAGAGGGUGAUCGGCCCCACUGGAACUGAGACACGGUCCAGACUCCUACGGGAGGCAGCAGUAGGGAAUCUUCCGCAAUGGGCGAAAGCUUGACGGAGCAACGCCGCGUGAGUGAUGAAGGUCUUCGGAUCGUAAAACUCUGUUAUUAGGGAAGAACAAAUGUGUAAGUAACUAUGCACGUCUUGACGGUACCUAAUCAGAAAGCCACGGCUAACUACGUG
Molecule: ribosomal RNA, 497 nt
Filed under: uncultured bacterium
Lineage: Bacteria
Description: partial 16S ribosomal RNA
Rfam family: Bacterial small subunit ribosomal RNA
Source: RNAcentral